CCUACGGGAGGCAGCAGUGAGGAAUAUUGGUCAAUGGGCGCGAGCCUGAACCAGCCAAGUAGCGUGAAGGAUGACUGCCCUACGGGUUGUAAACUUCUUUUAUAAAGGAAUAAAGUGAGGCACGUGUGCCUUUUUGUAUGUACUUUAUGAAUAAGGAUAUGCUAACUCCGUGCCAGCAGCCGCGGUAAUACGGAGGAUCCGAGCGUUAUCCGGAUUUAUUGGGUUUAAAGGGAGCGUAGAUGGGUUGUUAAGUCAGUUGUGAAAGCUUGGGGCUCAACCGGAAAAUUGCAAUUGAUACUGGCAGCCUUGAGUACAGUAGAGGUAGGCAGAAUUCGAGGUGUAGCGGUGAAA
This 351-nucleotide ribosomal RNA is filed under the name uncultured bacterium. RNAcentral describes it as "partial 16S ribosomal RNA". It matches the Rfam family "Bacterial small subunit ribosomal RNA", at positions 338 to 686 of the family's 1533-position model. The record is from RNAcentral.